GGCCGGUCCCAAUGUGGUAUUUACAACUAAUUGAUCACAACCAAUUACACAUUGCUUUGUUCCUUCUCCACUCUCUUUCAUUUGACUAGGCUAAG
Molecule: non-coding RNA, 95 nt
Filed under: Otolemur garnettii (small-eared galago)
Lineage: Eukaryota; Metazoa; Chordata; Mammalia; Primates; Galagidae
Source: RNAcentral